GACGAACGCUGGCGGCGUGCUUAACACAUGCAAGUCGAACGGAAAGGCCCUGCUUUUGUGGGGUGCUCGAGUGGCGAACGGGUGAGUAACACGUGAGUAACCUGCCCUUGACUUUGGGAUAACUUCAGGAAACUGGGGCUAAUACCGGAUAGGAGCUCCUGCUGCAUGGUGGGGGUUGGAAAGUUUCGGCGGUUGGGGAUGGACCCGCGGCUUAUCAGCUUGUUGGUGGGGUAGUGGCUUACCAAGGCUUUGAUGGGUAGCCGGCCUGAGAGGGUGACCGGCCACAUUGGGACUGAGAUACGGCCCAGACUCCUACGGGAGGCAGCAGUGGGGAAUAUUGCACAAUGGGCGGAAGCCUGAUGCAGCAACGCCGCGUGCGGGAUGACGGCCUUCGGGUUGUAAACCGCUUUCGCCUGUGACGAAGCGUGAGUGACGGUAAUGGGUAAAGAAGCACCGGCUAACUACGUG
This 468-nucleotide ribosomal RNA is filed under the name uncultured bacterium. Its description in RNAcentral is "partial 16S ribosomal RNA". It matches the Rfam family "Bacterial small subunit ribosomal RNA", at positions 28 to 507 of the family's 1533-position model. The record is from RNAcentral.